CCACGUGGACUAGUAGAGACUUAUGUCUCUGGUAGUUGGCAGCGCUAACUUACACGUUAUCUAACAGCUUCGAUAUAAUUGAGUAUCUUUCGCCGUACUUCGAUACUUGCCGUCUGUACUUAUAUUUAUUUAUUUAUUUUUUAAGUCUGAGUAUCGACGAAUUUACAGUGCGACUAUGCUGUGUUAUGCAAAAACCUAUAUGGAGUCCAUAAAAACGAAAACGGGAAAUGGCUAACAUGCUGUGAUGCAGGCCGACGCAAGACCAAGCUGAUCCAUGCCAGCUGCUCUGUUCAGGUGCUGGCUGAGGCAUUAGACGUGUACAGUGUGUGUACUCCUGCUAUCAUAGAUCAUUGUGACUGGCAGCAGGAGUAUGACUGACUGGACAGAAAUGCAUGCACUCAGACUUGCUGAACUGAGAUGUGUGGUGCACACCCCCAGAUGGGAACUGCUGAUCAGCUCUGAGCCCCUGAGAAAUGGAGCCACUAAGCAAGGGAGCCUUGAGGGAUGAAGGAGCAACCAGAUUCUGACUUGGGGGUUUCUAUAGUACAUUUAAUGCAGUCAGUGAAGAGAGAAUUGCAUCUGUCCAUAUGCUUUGUACAAUGUCUCCAUCAAUGAAAGUACAUUUAUAAAAUACACAUAUAUGAUUUGUCAUUAGUAUAUAUGGUGGUCCCAUGAAAUUAUUACUUUGGUUUAGUUGGGGAUUUAUUUGGUGCUCAUUGCAAAGUUGCUAGUGAAAACAUUUUUAUCUUCUGAAAUGUAGUACCUUCUUUUGUUAUUUUUAUAAUGAAAAAUAUUCUAGGGUUCCAAUGUUUGUAAUUUCAGACAUGAUUAAUAUAAAAUUAAAUUAGUUUGAUAUUGUAUUAUUCUGAUCUUUGUCUAUGUAGGACUUGCCAUCAGCACUUCAAAAACUUAGGUAACCUUUUGACGAAUGUUAAAUACUGUGUGUCUUUAUUAACAAAAAUAUUAAAAACAUUGAUGUAUUAAAGGAUCCAGAAUUUUACACUUUA
Electrophorus electricus (electric eel) is the source of this 1007-nucleotide long non-coding RNA. RefSeq lists it as uncharacterized. Lineage: Eukaryota; Metazoa; Chordata; Actinopteri; Gymnotiformes; Gymnotidae. The record is from RefSeq and is a predicted model, not a curated record.